CAAUAGCGUAUAUUAAAGUUGCUGCAGUUAAAAAGCUCGUAGUUGGAUCUCGGUGAUAUUGAGUCCUACUGCCGCUUAGUCUAUCGAGUCUGGCUAUGCCUAGUGUGUACGUUGGAUUUGUUGGCUGUGUUGGCGGUGUGGAAGCGGUGUUACCUUUCAGCCAUGUCUGUGGUGCAAUACCCACAGGUGUAAGCAAGUGUCAGGCGGUGCUGUGCCUUCGGUAUGGUUCGUCGGCUCGUUUGCAUGCCUGCGGAUGCCCUUCAAAAGGUGUCUGUGGGCGGAUGGCACGUUUACUUUGAACAAAUUUGAGUGCUCAAACCAGGCCAUCGCUGCCUGAAAAGUUUUGCAUGGAAUAAUGGAAUAGGACUUCGGUUCUAUUUUGUUGGUUUUCGGAUCCGAAGUAAUGAUCAAAAGAGACAGGCGGGGACGUUUGUAUGGUUGCGCUAGAGGUGAAAUUCAUGGACCGUAGCCAGACAAACAAAAGCGAAAGCAUUCGUCAAGCAUGUUUUCAUUGACCAUGAGCGAAAGUCAGAGGCUCGAAGACGAUCAGAUA
Molecule: ribosomal RNA, 553 nt
Filed under: Kotorella pronosoma
Lineage: Eukaryota; Metazoa; Platyhelminthes; Cestoda; Trypanorhyncha; Tentaculariidae
Description: SSU rRNA
Rfam family: Eukaryotic small subunit ribosomal RNA
Source: RNAcentral